RNAcentral lists this ribosomal RNA (707 nucleotides) under Russula archaea. Its description in RNAcentral is "eukaryotic LSU rRNA". The stretch from base 245 to 398 matches the Rfam family "5.8S ribosomal RNA". Lineage: Eukaryota; Fungi; Basidiomycota; Agaricomycetes; Russulales; Russulaceae. The record is from RNAcentral.
AAAAGUCGUAACAAGGUUUCCGUAGGUGAACCUGCGGAAGGAUCAUUACCGUGCAACCGAGGCACGAGGGCUGUCGCUGACCACCUUCAAAGGUCGUGCACGCCCGAGCGCUCUCACCCCCCAAUCCACCUUCACCCUUGUGCAUCACCGCGCGGUGACCCCUUUGGCUCGUUCCGAAGGGGCCCCGCGUUCUUCACACGAACACCUGGUCUAGAAUGUCUUUGCGAUUACAUGCAACCAAUACAACUUUCAACAACGGAUCUCUUGGCUCUCGCAUCGAUGAAGAACGCAGCGAAAUGCGAUACGUAAUGUGAAUUGCAGAAUUCAGUGAAUCAUCGAAUCUUUGAACGCACCUUGCGCCCCUUGGCAUUCCGAGGGGCACACCCGUUUGAGCGUCGUGACAUCCAUCAAACCUUGCUGGUUCCUUGACCAGGAAGGCUUUGGACUUUGGAGGGAUCUUGCCGGCUUUGAACGAAGCCGGCUCCUCUUAAAUGGAUUAGCGGGGUACCCAUUGGUGAUCCCUUGACGUGAUAAGCCAUUUCUACGUCUUGGGGUUAUAGGCUCUGUGACCCGCUCCGAACCGUCUCGUCGUCAGAGACAGCGGCUCGAGUUUGCCACCUCUCGGGGUGGGAAGCUCGACCCAGAACCCUUGACCUCAAAUCGGGUGAGACUACCCGCUGAACUUAAGCAUAUCAAUAAGCGGAGGA